AGCGAACGCUAGCGGCAGGCCUAACACAUGCAAGUCGAACGAACUCUUCGGAGUUAGUGGCGGACGGGUGAGUAACACGUGGGAACGUGCCUUUAGGUUCGGAAUAACUCAGGGAAACUUGUGCUAAUACCGAAUGUGCCCUUCGGGGGAAAGAUUUAUUGCCUUUAGAGCGGCCCGCGUCUGAUUAGCUAGUUGGUGAGGUAACGGCUCACCAAGGCGACGAUCAGUAGCUGGUCUGAGAGGAUGGCCAGCCACACUGUGACUGAGACACGGCCCAGACUCCUACGGGAGGCAGCAGUGGGGAAUCUUGCGCAAUGGGCGAAAGCCUGACGCAGCCAUGCCGCGUGAAUGAUGAAGGUCUUAGGAUUGUAAAAUUCUUUCACCGGGGACGAUAAUGACGGUACCCGGAGAAGAAGCCCCGGCUAACUUCGUGCCAGCCGCCGCAGUAA
RNAcentral lists this ribosomal RNA (449 nucleotides) under uncultured bacterium. RNAcentral describes it as "partial 16S ribosomal RNA". It matches the Rfam family "Bacterial small subunit ribosomal RNA", at positions 29 to 523 of the family's 1533-position model. The record is from RNAcentral.